GGGCUCACUUCUGCAGCACAUAUUCUAAAAUCGGAGCAAUACAGAUAUUAGCAUGGCCUCUGCGCAAGGAAGGAUGAAAUGCAAAUUUGUGAAGCUUUUCAUAAGGAG
Suncus etruscus (white-toothed pygmy shrew) is the source of this 108-nucleotide small nuclear RNA. The record is from RefSeq and is a predicted model, not a curated record. NCBI's taxonomy places the organism in Eukaryota, Metazoa, Chordata, Mammalia, Eulipotyphla, Soricidae.